GCCUCCCAAAGUGUUGGAAUUACAAGAGUGAGCCACUGUGCCUGACCUAUAAUCUCUUUUUAAUAGAACCAUUCUACUGAACUUUGAAUUUUACCCUUGAGAUGACACGUAUGAAAAAGUUUUAAGCAGGGAUGGAGGUCUUUGUCCUCCAAGCAGUGGGACAUCCGGAUUUCUGUAUGAAGCUUCCUUGGUUUGUUUCAGAAGUAAAUGCCAGCCCUGAGUGUCAGUAGUCUGUGAUGAAACGGCAAAGAACUGAGAGACCCCAACAUGGCUGGAUAAUCACCAGAUCAUCAUUCGCCACUACACUACUUCUAAAUCUGUCCUCCCCAGCUAGAGGAUUCUCUUGGAAUAUGGUGGCUAUGACGUAUCUCAUUUUAGGAACCGUACACUGCAUGGAAUGGUGACAA
This is a non-coding RNA of Saimiri boliviensis boliviensis (Bolivian squirrel monkey), 407 nucleotides long. Lineage: Eukaryota; Metazoa; Chordata; Mammalia; Primates; Cebidae. The record is from RefSeq and is a predicted model, not a curated record.